UGCCAGCAGCCGCGGUAAUACGGAGGGGGUUAGCGUUGUUCGGAAUUACUGGGCGUAAAGCGCACGUAGGCGGAGUAGAAAGUUAGAGGUGAAAUCCCGGGGCUCAACCCCGGAACUGCCUUUAAACCUACUAGUCUAGAGUUCGAGAGAGGUGAGUGGAAUUCCGAGUGUAGAGGUGAAAGUCGUAGAUAUUCGGAGGAACAACAGUGGCGAAGGCGGCUCACUGUCUCGAUACUGACGCUGAGGUGCGAAAGUGUGGGGAGAAAACAGGAUUAGAUC
RNAcentral lists this ribosomal RNA (279 nucleotides) under uncultured bacterium. RNAcentral describes it as "partial 16S ribosomal RNA". It matches the Rfam family "Bacterial small subunit ribosomal RNA", at positions 506 to 784 of the family's 1533-position model. The record is from RNAcentral.